AGUGAACGCUGGCGGUAGGCCUAACACAUGCAAGUCGAACGGCAGCACAGUAAGAGCUUGCCCUUACGGGUGGCGAGUGGCGGACGGGUGAGGCAUACAUCGGAAUCUACUUUUUCGGGGGGGAUAACGUAGGGAAACUUACGCUAAUACCGCAUACGACCUACGGGUGAAAGCAGGGGAUAUUCGGACCUUGCGCGAUUGAAUGAGCCGAUGUCGGAUUAGCUAGGUGGCGGGGUAAAGGAACACCAAGGCGACGAUACGUAGCUGAGCUGAGAGGAUGAUCAGCCACACUGUAACUGAGACACGGUCCACACUCCUACGGGAGGCAGCAGUGUGGAAUAUUGGACAAUGGGCGCAAGCCUGAUCCAGCCAUACCGCGUGUGUGAAGUAGGCCUUCGGGUUUUAUAGCCCUUUUUUUGGGAAAGAAAAGCUGCAGGUUAAUACCUCGCUGUUCUGACGGUACCCAAAGAAUAAGCACCGCCUAACUUCGUG
Molecule: ribosomal RNA, 492 nt
Filed under: uncultured bacterium
Lineage: Bacteria
Description: partial 16S ribosomal RNA
Rfam family: Bacterial small subunit ribosomal RNA
Source: RNAcentral